GACAGAGGGUGCAAACGUUGUUCGGAAUUACUGGGCGUAAAGCGCGUGUAGGCUGCUUCGCAAGUCGGGUGUGAAAGCCCUGGGCUCAACCUAGGAAGUGCACUCGAAACUGCGAAGCUUGAGUCCUGGAGAGGAAGGCGGAAUUCUCGGUGUAGAGGUGAAAUUCGUAGAUAUCGAGAGGAACACCGGUGGCGAAGGCGGCCUUCUGGACAGAUACUGACGCUGAAACACGAAAGCGUGGGGAGCAAACAGG
This 253-nucleotide ribosomal RNA is filed under the name uncultured bacterium. RNAcentral's name for it is "partial 16S ribosomal RNA". It matches the Rfam family "Bacterial small subunit ribosomal RNA", at positions 524 to 776 of the family's 1533-position model. The record is from RNAcentral.